CCCCCCCCCCCCCCCCGUGAUCCCCCUAGCUCGAGUGCGUACCUGCCCCUAAGAGUAAGAGCAGCAGGAAGGGAUGCUCUGCAGUGUGGAGGGAGGGGCACCUGCGCAGAAAGGGAUCCUUGCAAGAGCAGAGGGUGCUGGGCGCUCGGUACUGAUCCCCAAAUCUGGAAGUGGGUUUUCUCCUCGACGGUGGGAAGGACAGUGCUGGGCACUUGUGCAAACCCAUUCAAUCCAGCAGUGUCCUGAGGGUGUAUAAGCAGCCGGCGUGCAAACAAGUCCUGAAGACAGCGGGAGAGCUUAAAACAGUCAUUGAUUCCAGGGCUGGAAUAGACCUUGAGAGCUUAUCUGAGUGCAAACCUCACUCUGCGUGUUUUAUCCACAAGGCCAGCAGGACCCCCAGAAAGACAGGCUUGCUCAGGCGGUCCUUUGUUAAAUCUGAAGAGUGGUCAUGAGAGUGCUUGACGUCCUUGGUGGUUUCCUGUGCACCGGUCACCUCCAUCAGGUCGUCUUUACCGUGCAGGGAAGUGCUUCGUAGGACCAGAUCUGGUCACUGCUGUGCAAUUCCAGUCACAUGGAGAGCCCGGAGGUGUAGGACCUGGCAGUUUCAAACCAGAUUUCCUCUACAGCUCUCUGGCCCAGGUCAAACAACUGCUGCAAGUGCUUCCACCCAGUUUUUGCAGUAAUCAUGAGAUACUCUUCAUUCUCUGGGUGUAGCUGGCAAGAGUACGCCGCCAUGACCAGGGACUGGCAAAAGCGACUGCACACGAGUAGAAACAAAGCUCCCCUCUCCACAGGCGUCAGCGGGAUGACACUCUCAAACCCCGCCAGGACGUGACCUCCCACGUGCAUGGGACUCUUGCUCUCAAUCAUCAUGUACAUGAUGGUAAUGGCCGCUUCAAACACGUAGUAGCCGUAGCUCAUGUCAUCGAAGUCUAAAAUCCCAGACACUUGAUAUGCAGCAUCUCCACAGGCUGACUUACUGGACUCCACUAGGAUGUUAUGGUCAUUAAGAUCCCCAUGAUUGAGACCUAAAAGAAGAAAAACCAAGCCAUGUGAAAGCAUUGAAUUCCCCACUUCAUUGUCUUCCCAUUUCCUGUUUCUUGGGCACAGCCACUCCGAUGUGAUGAGCAGUCCGAGGUAGAGCCAAACCCUAUUUGUCCUGCAAUAAAAUAAUUUUCUCCGAAAGGGAAAAAAGAAGUUAA
Canis lupus familiaris (dog) is the source of this 1202-nucleotide long non-coding RNA. RefSeq lists it as uncharacterized. The transcript has 2 exons. Lineage: Eukaryota; Metazoa; Chordata; Mammalia; Carnivora; Canidae. The record is from RefSeq and is a predicted model, not a curated record.